Molecule: ribosomal RNA, 550 nt
Filed under: Candida albicans
Lineage: Eukaryota; Fungi; Ascomycota; Pichiomycetes; Serinales; Debaryomycetaceae
Description: partial large subunit ribosomal RNA
Rfam family: Eukaryotic large subunit ribosomal RNA
Source: RNAcentral
CGGCGAGUGAAGCGGCAAAAGCUCAAAUUUGAAAUCUGGCGUCUUUGGCGUCCGAGUUGUAAUUUGAAGAAGGUAUCUUUGGGCCCGGCUCUUGUCUAUGUUCCUUGGAACAGGACGUCACAGAGGGUGAGAAUCCCGUGCGAUGAGAUGACCCGGGUCUGUGUAAAGUUCCUUCGACGAGUCGAGUUGUUUGGGAAUGCAGCUCUAAGUGGGUGGUAAAUUCCAUCUAAAGCUAAAUAUUGGCGAGAGACCGAUAGCGAACAAGUACAGUGAUGGAAAGAUGAAAAGAACUUUGAAAAGAGAGUGAAAAAGUACGUGAAAUUGUUGAAAGGGAAGGGCUUGAGAUCAGACUUGGUAUUUUGCAUGCUGCUCUCUCGGGGGCGGCCGCUGCGGUUUACCGGGCCAGCAUCGGUUUGGAGCGGCAGGAUAAUGGCGGAGGAAUGUGGCACGGCUUCUGCUGUGUGUUAUAGCCUCUGACGAUACUGCCAGCCUAGACCGAGGACUGCGGUUUUUAACCUAGGAUGUUGGCAUAAUGAUCUUAAGUCGCCCG